CAGUCGCCGCGGUAAUACGUAGGGUGCGAGCGUUAAUCGGAAUUACUGGGCGUAAAGCGUGCGCAGGCGGUUGUGUAAGACAGGUGUGAAAUCCCCGGGCUUAACCUGGGAACUGCGCUUGUGACUGCACAGCUAGAGUAUGGCAGAGGGGGGUGGAACUCCACGUGUAGCAGUGAAAUGCGUAGAGAUGUGGAGGAACACCGAUGGCGAAGGCAGCCCCCUGGGCCAAUACUGACGCUCAUGCACGAAAGCGUGGGGAGCAAACAGGAUUAGAUACCCCUGUAGUCCCUGUCUCUUAUAC
This 301-nucleotide ribosomal RNA is filed under the name uncultured bacterium. RNAcentral's name for it is "partial 16S ribosomal RNA". It matches the Rfam family "Bacterial small subunit ribosomal RNA", at positions 509 to 807 of the family's 1533-position model. The record is from RNAcentral.